RNAcentral lists this ribosomal RNA (455 nucleotides) under uncultured archaeon. RNAcentral describes it as "bacterial SSU rRNA". It matches the Rfam family "Archaeal small subunit ribosomal RNA", at positions 71 to 508 of the family's 1478-position model. The record is from RNAcentral.
GUGAGACGCGGCAGACGGCUCAGUAACACGUGGCUAACCUACCCUCAGGACGGGGACAAACCCGGGAAACUGGGGCUAAUACCCGAUAAGCGAGGAUGCCUGGAAUGGUUUUUCACCAAAAGGGCUUUGGAAGCAUGCUUUCUAACGUCGCCUGGGGAUGGGGCCGCGUCCGAUCAGGUUGUUGGUGAGGUAACGGCUCACCAAGCCUAUAACCGGUACGGGCCGUGAGAGCGGUAGCCCGGAUAUGGGUACUGAUACAAGGACCCAUGCCCUACGGGGCGCACCAGUCUCGAAAACUCCGCAAUGCACGAAAGUGUGACGGGGCUACCCCGAGUGCCGUCCGCUGAGGAUGGCUUUUCCUUGGUGUAACUAGCCGGGGGAAUAAGGAGAGGGCAAGACUGGUGUCAGCCGACGCUGUAAUACCAGCUCUCCGAAUGGUAGGGAUGAUUAUUGGG